GAUGAACGCUGGCUACAGGCUUAACACAUGCAAGUCGAGGGGAAACGGCAUUGAGUGCUUGCACUGAAUGGACGUCGACCGGCGCACGGGUGAGUAACGCGUAUCCAACCUUCCCGUUACUGCGGGAUAACCUGCCGAAAGGCAGACUAAUACCGCAUGUUCUUCGAUGACGGCAUCAGAUUCGAAGCAAAGAUCCGUCGGUAACGGAGGGGGAUGCGUCUGAUUAGCUGGUUGGCGGGGCGACGGCCCACCAAGGCGACGAUCAGUAGGGGUUCUGAGAGGAAGGUCCCCCACAUUGGAACUGAGACACGGUCCAAACUCCUACGGGAGGCAGCAGUGAGGAAUAUUGGUCAAUGGGCGGAAGCCUGAACCAGCCAAGUAGCGUGCAGGAGGACGGCCCUACGGGUUGUAAACUGCUUUUAUGCGGGGAUAAAGUGAGGGACGCGUCCCUUUUUGCAGGUACCGCAUGAAUAAGGACCGGCUAAUUCCGUGCCAGCAGCCGCGGUAAUACGGAAGGUCCGGGCGUUAUCCGGAUUUAUUGGGUUUAAAGGGAGCGUAGGCCGGGGAUUAAGUGUGUUGUGAAAUGUAGGCGCCCAACGUCUGACUUGCAGCGCAUACUGGUUCCCUUGAGUACGCGCAACGCCGGCGGAAUUCGUCGUGUAGCGGUGAAAUGCUUAGAUAUGACGAAGAACUCCGAUUGCGAAGGCAGCUUGCGGGAGCACAACUGACGCUGAAGCUCGAAAGUGCGGGUAUCGAACAGG
RNAcentral lists this ribosomal RNA (761 nucleotides) under uncultured Prevotella sp. RNAcentral describes it as "bacterial SSU rRNA". It matches the Rfam family "Bacterial small subunit ribosomal RNA", at positions 28 to 776 of the family's 1533-position model. The record is from RNAcentral. Lineage: Bacteria; Pseudomonadati; Bacteroidota; Bacteroidia; Bacteroidales; Prevotellaceae.